UACGAAGGGGGCUAGCGUUGCUCGGAAUUACUGGGCGUAAAGGGCGCGUAGGCGGAUCGUUAAGUCAGAGGUGAAAGCCCAGGGCUCAACCCUGGAAUUGCCUUUGAUACUGGCGAUCUUGAGUACGGGAGAGGUGUGUGGAACUCCGAGUGUAGAGGUGAAAUUCGUAGAUAUUCGGAAGAACACCAGUGGCGAAGGCGACACACUGGCCCGUUACUGACGCUGAGGAGCGAAAGCGUGGGGAGCGAACAGG
This 253-nucleotide ribosomal RNA is filed under the name uncultured bacterium. RNAcentral's name for it is "partial 16S ribosomal RNA". It matches the Rfam family "Bacterial small subunit ribosomal RNA", at positions 524 to 776 of the family's 1533-position model. The record is from RNAcentral.